Molecule: ribosomal RNA, 273 nt
Filed under: uncultured Dysgonomonas sp.
Lineage: Bacteria; Pseudomonadati; Bacteroidota; Bacteroidia; Bacteroidales; Dysgonomonadaceae
Description: partial 16S ribosomal RNA
Rfam family: Bacterial small subunit ribosomal RNA
Source: RNAcentral
UACUGCGUAUCCCCGCUUUAUCCGGAUUUAUUGGGUUUAAAGGGUGCGCAGGCGGGAUAAUAAGUCAGUGGUGAAAGUUUGCAGCUUAACUGUAAAAUUGCCGUUGAAACUGUUAUUCUUGAGUGCAGACAAGGUAGGCGGAAUGUAUUGUGUAGCGGUGAAAUGCUUAGAUAUAAUACAGAACCCCGAUUGCGAAGGCAGCUUACCGGACUGUAACUGACGCUCAGGCACGAAAGCGGGGGGAUCAAACAGGAGGAGAAAACCGAGUAGUCC